UCACUCUGGUUUCCCUUCAAAACGUAUAAAUCUUUCGCCUUUUACUAAAGAUUUCCGUGGAGGGGAACACUCAAAUGAGUCUAACUCAAUUUUUAACAGCCUCACGCUCGUGAGGCU
Cydia strobilella is the source of this 117-nucleotide small nuclear RNA. RefSeq annotates it as U5 spliceosomal RNA. The record is from RefSeq and is a predicted model, not a curated record. NCBI's taxonomy places the organism in Eukaryota, Metazoa, Arthropoda, Insecta, Lepidoptera, Tortricidae. The transcript has a single exon.